Molecule: long non-coding RNA, 518 nt
Organism: Herpailurus yagouaroundi (jaguarundi)
Lineage: Eukaryota; Metazoa; Chordata; Mammalia; Carnivora; Felidae
Exons: 2
Source: RefSeq, a predicted model, not a curated record
GGAUGAUUUGAGCAGAAAAACAGAAGGAUUUUACACCUUUCUUGCCUGCUGCUGAGAUAAGUGUGCUGUCUCAGGAUGAGACUGAAGAGCACUAUGCCAGUAGUCAAAGGAUGGAAUUCAAGGCCCUAGCUGUGACACUAGGGAGGUGCCCACGCCUCCAAGGUGGACAGAGUAGCUGAUAUUUAACAUAAGCCACAGGAGCUCUGAGAAAUCAUAAAGUGCAUGAGAAAUCCUCUUCACGUGAUGGCUCUGAGACCUCAUGGGGGAGCUGAUGAGAACUCCGGACUGUGAAAUUAGAAAUUAUGUCUCCAGAGAGGAGAAAUGUGGGUUAAAAAUCAAUUAAAUAUCUUCUUGUUCUGUCUUAAUUAAAAAGAAACAACCAACAGAGGGUUUUGUACAGAAAGGAAACAAACUCUUCAGACCUAUUAGUGAUAGAAAACAAGCCUUUUUAUGUAACUAAUCAGGCUAAGGCAGAGGUCUCCAGUAAGAGUACAUUUUUACCAUGUUCUGUCUUUUAA